This 301-nucleotide ribosomal RNA is filed under the name uncultured bacterium. Its description in RNAcentral is "partial 16S ribosomal RNA". It matches the Rfam family "Bacterial small subunit ribosomal RNA", at positions 509 to 807 of the family's 1533-position model. The record is from RNAcentral.
CAGUCGCCACGGUAAUACGAAGGGUGCAAGCGUUACUCGGAAUUACUGGGCGUAAAGCGUGCGUAGGUGGUGGUUUAAGUCCGUUGUGAAAGCCCUGGGCUCAACCUGGGAAUUGCAGUGGAUACUGGGUCACUGGAGUGUGGUAGAGGAUAGUGGAAUUUCCGGUGUAGCAGUGAAAUGCGUAGAGAUCGGAAGGAACAUCUGUGGCGAAGGCGGCUAACUGGUCCAUAACUGACGCUGAGGUGCGAAAGCGUGGGGAGCAAACAGGAUUAGAUACCCCUGUAGUCCCUGUCUCUUAUAC